Molecule: non-coding RNA, 819 nt
Organism: Ictidomys tridecemlineatus (thirteen-lined ground squirrel)
Lineage: Eukaryota; Metazoa; Chordata; Mammalia; Rodentia; Sciuridae
Source: RefSeq, a predicted model, not a curated record
CAGGGCCUGGGGAGGGGAGGAGGCAGGGGCAGACUUCAGCAAUGCAGUCUCUCCCAGAGCCUGCACUGGGGACAAAAGGGCCUUGCUUGGUGACAUUCAAGUAUGAUGGGGUAGGAGGCUUGGACUGGCCUCUGGCCUGAGCCUCCUUCCUUUCCGUGCCCUGACCUGAACUCACCCAGCAGAUUCCACCCCGUUUCUCGUAAAGAAAUCCAGCAACUCCAGCCAGCACGGCCUGGGGAGAGAUUAAACCAGCAGUGAUGUGCACAGGAAACGCUCAAAGAAUCAGAAAGUGUGGUAUAGCCCUGAGGACAGAUGGAUCCAAAUCCUGUUUGGCUAUUCUAGUGCAAGUCUGUCGGAGAGUCCCCAGGUCCACCAUGAGCAGCCCACUGAGCUCCCAUUGAAGACUGCACACACACAUCUCUUGACCUUCGUGCCUGGAUCCCCACUGAUGUGCAGAGCACAACAGGGAACUAGGAGGCUACGCUUCCUCUGGGGACUGCAGACUCUCUAUCUGCCUCCCCUAUCUCAGGGCAGACAUCUGGAGGUGAGUAGGUCCUUAGAGCCUUAGCUAAUAACUGGGACAAUGGGAACGAGGACCUAGACUGGUGGGAAGGGCACUGGGCAGGGGACCAGAGAGAUGACCCUGUGACUUCAGACAUCGCCCCACUUCCUUUGGUUAUUUUCUUAUCUGCACCAAUGACAAACUGACCUAGAUAAUUAGGGACUUUUUGAUGGCUAACAUUCUGUUCCACCAUGUUGGGGUGGUCCUGGGAAGUCCUAUCCUUCUGUUGGGAGGUUGGUCACCUGCUGCCUUACUUA